Long non-coding RNA from Zingiber officinale, 294 nucleotides. RefSeq lists it as uncharacterized. The transcript is spliced from 3 exons. Lineage: Eukaryota; Viridiplantae; Streptophyta; Magnoliopsida; Zingiberales; Zingiberaceae. The record is from RefSeq and is a predicted model, not a curated record.
GAAGCGACGGAUUUGUUCAUCUAGUGUUUGACUCAGAAUGCUGAGUGCUAUAAACAGUGGGAAAAACUCUAUGUAGAGAAUGUUGGUGCGACAAUUAUUGUUCUUCGGAAACUCUCCACUGAGUGGCGAAAUUACUCGGCCAAAAUUUCCCCCGACACUCUCAAAGUAACACUUAAGCAUUUGAGGGCUAAAAAUGAAGAUGCCCUGUCAAGAAACACAGACCCCAGCCAAGUAGCAUCCAUCAAAGAAGCUGACAAGUACUGCAAGACAAUUUUGAUGAAGUUAACACAUAAU